This 315-nucleotide ribosomal RNA is filed under the name uncultured eukaryote. Its description in RNAcentral is "partial 18S ribosomal RNA". It matches the Rfam family "Eukaryotic small subunit ribosomal RNA", at positions 1470 to 1796 of the family's 1831-position model. The record is from RNAcentral.
CCCUUAGACGUUCUGGGCCGCACGCGCGCUACACUGACCAGUGCAACAAGCAUCCGUCCUUGGCCGACAGGCCCGGGCAAUCUUUGAACGCUGGUCGUGAUGGGGAUAGACUUUUGCAAUUUUUGGUCUUCAACGAGGAAUUCCUAGUAAACGCAAGUCAUCAACUUGCAUUGAUUACGUCCCUGCCCUUUGUACACACCGCCCGUCGUACCUACCGAUUGAAUGGUCCGGUGAAGCCUCCGGAUUGGCGCGCACCUCGGUGCCGCCGAGAAGUUGGCUAAACCUUACCAUUUAGAGGAAGGUGAAGUCGUAACA